UGGUGAUGGUGGCGGCAGUGGUGGCCAUGGAUGAGGCUGGUGGCCCUGAGGAAGACUGCUGGCCCUGAGCAUGAGGGAAGAGCUGUCCAAAGUCAAAAAGAAGGACUUUGAGCACUUGAUGAUGGAGGUGAUGCAGAUCUGGGACUUUCUGCCCAGGAUCCUCAAUCAGGAAGUCCUGGAGAGUUGCUCCAAGUUGAAGAUUGUCAACAAAUUGAAUCUCCCUGCAUCUCUAGUGGGCAUCAGCUCGGGGGUGUAUAGUUCCUUCAUUGCUGGUUCACCUUAGGUGAGCAGGAACUAAGGAGUCCAGCAAGCAAGCAUUGCGUGUCACAUCCUCUCAGCCACUUGUUCAGCAGAGAUUUCUGUGUCCUGAUCUGUGCACAGGGGCAGGCACUGGGCAGGUGAGUGGUGUGAGAACCCAGGACUGGAGAGACCAGGGUUUUCCAUCAGAAAUGAGGCUUCCUGCCUCUGUCCUUUGGCCUGGUCCCUGGACUGGGUCAGGGCUCCGAGUGGAAGUGCAGAGGUGCCACAUCCUCAGAAGGCAAGGGGAUGCCUGUUAGUGGGUGGCCCCUGCCAGCCUCUUUCCCAGGUGGAAAUAUGUGGGAUGGAGCUCCCAGACUGCUCCCGCCCUAUGAGUGUCAUGAUAGACCAGCUAGCUGCCUCAUGGCACUUGGACACUGACGGGCUAUCCUCAUGAUUUACCUCCGUUACUGUGGAUCAGCUGCUGAGGCUCAGGUCUGGGCUGGCUAGCUGCCGGGUCAAGGGGGCACACUGCAAUCACCCCAUGGAGCUGCACCACGAGACCCUUGGGAAGAGCUUGGCAGUUACCACCACAGCUUCCCAGGUCCUGAGUGUCUGAGACACAGCCCCAGCCUUCCUGGCUGUAUAGCCCAAACUACAGCACAAGGCCUGAUGCCCCGUUACAUUCUCCAGACCCAAACACUUUUAUUUUCUGGGUGUGUGGGGCCUCCCCAGGUUUAGCACCUGCCCAUUUAAGAGAGCCUUCCACCAAGGA
Long non-coding RNA from Ochotona princeps (American pika), 1012 nucleotides. RefSeq lists it as uncharacterized. The transcript has 3 exons. The record is from RefSeq and is a predicted model, not a curated record. Lineage: Eukaryota; Metazoa; Chordata; Mammalia; Lagomorpha; Ochotonidae.